RNAcentral lists this ribosomal RNA (768 nucleotides) under Chitinophagaceae bacterium MS281c. RNAcentral describes it as "bacterial SSU rRNA". It matches the Rfam family "Bacterial small subunit ribosomal RNA", at positions 86 to 854 of the family's 1533-position model. Lineage: Bacteria; Pseudomonadati; Bacteroidota; Chitinophagia; Chitinophagales; Chitinophagaceae. The record is from RNAcentral.
UGAUGGCGACCGGCAAACGGGUGCUGGAACACGUACGCAACCUUCCUUCAAGCGGGGAAUAGCCCAGAGAAAUUUGGAUUAAUACCCCAUAAGAAUGUGGACUGGCAUCAGUCAGCAUUUAAAGAUUUAUCACUUGAAGAUGGGCGUGCGUCUGAUUAGAUAGUUGGUGAGGUAACGGCUCACCAAGUCAACGAUCAGUAACUGGCGUGAGAGCGCGAUCAGUCACACGGGCACUGAGACACGGGCCCGACUCCUACGGGAGGCAGCAGUAAGGAAUAUUGGUCAAUGGACGGAAGUCUGAACCAGCCAUGCCGCGUGGAGGAUGAAGGCCCUCUGGGUUGUAAACUUCUUUUAUUUGGGACGAAACACUCUUUUUCUAAAGAGCUUGACGGUACCAGAUGAAUAAGCACCGGCUAACUCCGUGCCAGCAGCCGCGGUAAUACGGAGGGUGCAAGCGUUAUCCGGAUUCACUGGGUUUAAAGGGUGCGUAGGCGGAUUUGUAAGUCCGUGGUGAAAUCUCUAAGCUUAACUUGGAAAUUGCCGUGGAUACUAUAAGUCUUGAAUAUUGUGGAGGUUAGCGGAAUAUGUCAUGUAGCGGUGAAAUGCAUAGAUAUGACAUAGAACACCAAUUGCGAAGGCAGCUGGCUACACAACUAUUGACGCUGAGGCACGAAAGCGUGGGGAUCAAACAGGAUUAGAUACCCUGGUAGUCCACGCCCUAAACGAUGAUUACUCGACAUUUGCGAUACACAGCAAGUGUCUGAGCGA